UUUUAAUUUUUAAUUUUAAUUUAAUUUCAAAGUAAAUCUAAUUCCAAAUUUCAAGUUAAUCUUAAUUGUGUUUUACUAAUGAUUCAAACUCUAAUUGAUUUUAAUUUCCAAAUGAAUGUUAGAGUUGACAUCAAAGUAAUUUUAACAAAUUAUAGAUUGAUCUGGUUUUAAUUGGUUUUGUUGGUUUUUUUUUUAUUUUUAAAUUGACAUUUUGAUUAGUCUCGGAUUACUUCUAAAAUCCAUAUCCAUUUUUAUAGUCAAAUAUC
RNAcentral lists this long non-coding RNA (266 nucleotides) under Lathyrus oleraceus (garden pea). RNAcentral describes it as "Pisum sativum (pea) long non-coding RNA (PSAT_LNC025057)". Lineage: Eukaryota; Viridiplantae; Streptophyta; Magnoliopsida; Fabales; Fabaceae. The record is from RNAcentral.